Molecule: non-coding RNA, 26 nt
Filed under: Homo sapiens (human)
Lineage: Eukaryota; Metazoa; Chordata; Mammalia; Primates; Hominidae
Source: RNAcentral
UAUGCUAAAUGAUGGGAAAGUCUGGG